RNAcentral lists this ribosomal RNA (253 nucleotides) under uncultured prokaryote. RNAcentral's name for it is "partial 16S ribosomal RNA". It matches the Rfam family "Bacterial small subunit ribosomal RNA", at positions 525 to 777 of the family's 1533-position model. The record is from RNAcentral.
ACGAAGGGUGCAAGCGUUACUCGGAAUUAUUGGGCGUAAAGCGCGCGCAGGCGGUCCUUUAAGUCUGAUGUGAAAGCCCACGGCUUAACCGUGGAGUGUCAUUGGAAACUGGAGGACUUGAGUGCAGAAGAGGAGAGUGGAAUUCCACGUGUAGCGGUGAAAUGCGUAGAGAUCGGGAGGAACAUCCGUGGCGAAGGCGACUACCUGGACCAGCACUGACACUGUGGCACGAAAGCGUGGGGAGCAAACAGGA